Cyclopterus lumpus (lumpfish) is the source of this 2113-nucleotide RNA transcript. It is a transcript of the gene named DAZ associated protein 1, with no coding region annotated. Lineage: Eukaryota; Metazoa; Chordata; Actinopteri; Perciformes; Cyclopteridae. The transcript has 13 exons. The record is from RefSeq and is a predicted model, not a curated record.
ACCAAAAAGCGGAGUGACCUUCCUCCGCUCUCAGUCUGAGACGGGCAGCACUGAAGCAAGAAUCCGGUCGCAGCUCCGACAGUCCCCCGCUUUAGCCUCAGCAAUGAACAACAACUUAGUCGGAGAUGAAGUCGGGAAACUUUUUGUGGGAGGAUUGGACUGGAGUACCACACAAGAGACACUUAGAAACUACUUCUCACAGUAUGGGGAAGUAGUAGAUUGUGUCAUAAUGAAGGACAAAACUACAAAUCAGUCGCGAGGCUUUGGCUUUGUCAAAUUCAAAGACCCCAAUUGUGUACGGACAGUGCUGGAGACAAAGCCGCAUAAUCUUGAUGGAAGAAAUAUUGACCCGAAGCCAUGCACUCCCAGAGGAAUGCAACCUGAAAAGUCUCGAACCAAGGAGGGCUGGAAGGGCAGCAAAGCCGAUAGCAAUAAAUCAAAGAAGAUAUUUGUAGGUGGAAUCCCCCAUAACUGCGGCGAGCCUGAACUCAGGGACUAUUUCAAUAGAUUCGGAGUGGUCACAGAGGUGGUAAUGAUCUAUGAUGCGGAGAAGCAGAGGCCCCGAGGUUUUGGAUUUAUUACUUUCGAGGCCGAACAAUCAGUGGACCAGGCUGUCAACAUGCAUUUUCACGACAUCAUGGGCAAAAAAGUGGAAGUGAAGAAGGCUGAACCCCGUGACAGCAAAGCUCCUGGCCAGCUUGGCCCUGGCCAGUGGGCUCCAAGGGGCAUCUUGAGUGCAGCUAAUGGUUGGACGGCACAGCCUGCCCAGGGCUGGCAACAGCCUUACGGGGCACAGGGAGUGUGGGUGUCGACUACCGGCCAACCGAUAGAUCUGUUCUGUAUUGGAGCAGGCGGGUAUGGACCUCAGUUGACAGCCAGUCGUGGAACCCCCACACAGCCUCCGUCACCUUUCAACGCAUUCCUGGUCACGACCCCAGCGGGUGGCUUCGCUGCACCUCAGGGCUACCCUCAGCAGGCCUACAGCACAGCACCUCAGUAUGGUUACAGUUUCGGCACACCCCAAGCAGACCAGUAUGCUCCACAGGUUCCUCCUCCGCCCACCACUCCAGGAACUGCACCUCUGGGUUUUGCCCCUGCCACCACACCAACUCAGGACUUGAGCAAAGCUCCCACUGGGCAGCCUGACUUCCCUUAUAGCCAGUAUGGACGAAGCUGAGCAGUGAGGCCUCUCAGAGCAUAGUGCAGACGCAGUAAGUGAGUAUAAGUGUGCAGCUCUGUUAGGCCAGCGAGGGGGGGGGACUAUGUAGUUGGCCAGCAGUAUCUGGGUUCAGUCAACCUGGUCUCCUCAUCUCCCUGAUAGGCUUUGGUAACUACCUUCAGGACCCCUCUGCCUACGGACCAUCGCGUCCUUCUCACAGUUAUGGUCAGGAUGAGCAGGGAGGAUAUAGUGCAGGUAGGUGCCAGCAUUGUCUUCUCAACCACAAAAGUAGCAUUUGUUCAGUAAUGUAGUGUUUAUAGAGCUGCAACCUGGUUCUUUUCCUCUGUGCUUUGUAUUUGCAUGUAAAUAUUGCAUGUACAUACAAAUGACUGUGUGUACUCUUGUACAGUAAAACUCAGCCACGACUGAGAGGAUUUAAUACAUUUACUUUGAAAUUUGUCAUGCAGAGCUCUAAGCAGUCAUCUCCCUCGGUCGCUGUAGCUUUACUAUACCAAGACAACCCAUGUCCUCCUUUUUUGUCCACUCUCUCUGUCCGCAUUGCUUUGCAGAUUAUAGAAGGAUGAUCUAAUUGUCAGAAACGUUGUUCAUGGUUCAGUUGUCUCUAUGCAUCAGCAGUCCAUUCACCCAUUGUCUUUUUCCCAUGUACUGUCUCCACAUUAUAGCUGAAGGGAUGAGAAAGGAAAGAAGAUUUAAAGAAGGAGACGAUGGCAGUAAAUUUCCAAUUUCACUUGUCUCUUCUCUUCUGUCGGGUGGUCCUGUUGGGUCUGCUCCCUCUUAUUUUUGUUCUGUUCAUGGAGCACUUUGAACACCCCAAAAGAAAUGGGUACGGACAGGAACUGACAGCCUUCAGUCACAGCUUCGCAGACCCCAGCCAGCCGACGGCUUCGUACGGGGCCCCGACAGCACAGCCCACCGGCGUCCCCCAGACUGCUG